Molecule: unclassified non-coding RNA, 529 nt
Filed under: uncultured Bartonella sp.
Lineage: Bacteria; Pseudomonadati; Pseudomonadota; Alphaproteobacteria; Hyphomicrobiales; Bartonellaceae
Description: partial 16S-23S ribosomal RNA intergenic spacer
Rfam family: tRNA (bases 103-176)
Source: RNAcentral
GAAAGCUCUUUGUUUUUUGAAAUGAUGCUUUUAUGAGAUAGAGCUUUUUUAGAUAAUGCUUUUUUAGAUAAUGCUGGGGAAGGUUUUCCGGUUUAUCUCGGAGGGCUUGUAGCUCAGUUGGUUAGAGCGCGCGCUUGAUAAGCGUGAGGUCGGAGGUUCAAGUCCUCCCAGGCCCACCAAUUUACCUAUCCAUUUGCUUUUAUCCGUUUAUUUGCCGAUUUAUCGGUCCAUUGAAUUUAAGUGUUGGUAGCGGUUUUUAUAAUGAUGAGAAAUCAUGCUUAUAAAAGAACUCCUUAUAAAAGGCUUGUUUUUAAAAUGUGACGCUUAUCCAUUUCGCUUAGGCAAGAGAAACUUCAAGCGGUUCAAAUGCAAAAGGCUUUAAAUUUUGCAAAACAAUUUGAAUUUUGCAAAACAAUUUGAAUUUUAAAGUGAUCCAAGUUCGUGAUCUCGAAUUUAAAAGUUUCGAAUGCUUUAUCCUUUUUUGGGGGCCGUAGCUCAGCUGGGAGAGCACCUGCUUUGCAAGCAGGGG